Molecule: ribosomal RNA, 254 nt
Filed under: uncultured bacterium
Lineage: Bacteria
Description: partial 16S ribosomal RNA
Rfam family: Archaeal small subunit ribosomal RNA
Source: RNAcentral
UACCAGCACCCCGAGUGGUCGGGACGUUUUAUUGGGCCUAAAGCAUCCGUAGCCGGUUCUACAAGUCUUCCGUUAAAUCCAGCUGCUUAACAGAUGGGCUGCGGAAGAUACUAUGGAGCUAGGAGGCGGGAGAGGCAAGCGGUACUCGAUGGGUAGGGGUAAAAUCCGUUGAUCCAUUGAAGACCACCAGUGGCGAAGGCGGCUUGCCAGAACGCGCUCGACGGUGAGGGAUGAAAGUUGGGGGAGCAAACCGG